GAGCGUGUUCAGACCUCACCAACCAGAUGCGCAAGGCAGUUGGACAUAGUGGUGUUUUAGAGAUGGGAGUUACCAUUGACAAGCAUUAUACGACGGACAGACCGCAACGGUUGAAGUUGAAAAUCAUCAUUUGUGUUCUACUGAAGAAACAAAGUCACCUACAUCUUGGAUGCCCUGGGGAAUGGACAGGAUGAAUUCUGCGCUCUUAUUGGGGCUGUAAGUGGACGGUACAAUGAGAUACUCUCCUGGCUCCAGCCUGAAGAAUUUCAUCACCUGUCUUGCAUCCUGAAAGUCCCCGCUUGUUGCCACAGGCUUUC
Long non-coding RNA from Ctenopharyngodon idella (grass carp), 317 nucleotides. RefSeq lists it as uncharacterized. Lineage: Eukaryota; Metazoa; Chordata; Actinopteri; Cypriniformes; Xenocyprididae. The record is from RefSeq and is a predicted model, not a curated record. The transcript has 3 exons.